Molecule: non-coding RNA, 21 nt
Organism: Caenorhabditis elegans
Lineage: Eukaryota; Metazoa; Nematoda; Chromadorea; Rhabditida; Rhabditidae
Source: Ensembl
UAAUAUUUGUAUAACAAUCAC